GAUGAACGCUGGCGGCGUGCCUAAUACAUGCAAGUCGAGCGAAUGGAUUAAGAGCUUGCUCUUAUGAAGUUAGCGGCGGACGGGUGAGUAACACGUGGGUAACCUGCCCAUAAGACUGGGAUAACUCCGGGAAACCGGGGCUAAUACCGGAUAAUAUUUUGAACUGCAUGGUUCAAAAUUGAAAGGCGGCUUCGGCUGUCACUUAUGGAUAGACCCGCGUCGCAUUAGCUAGUUGGUGAGGUAACGGCUCACCAAGGCAACGAUGCGUAGCCGACCUAGGAGGGUGGUCGACAACACGGGGACUUAGACACGGCCAAGACGCGUACGGGAGGCAGCAGUAGGGAAUCUUCCGCAAUGGACGAAAGACUGACGGAGCAACGCCGCGUGAGUGAUGAAGGCUUUCGGGUCGUAAAACUCUGUUGUUAGGGAAGAACGAGUGCUAGUUGAAUAAGCUGGCACCUUGACGGUACCUAACCAGAAAGCCACGGCUAACUACGUGCCAGCAGCCGCCGUAA
This 515-nucleotide ribosomal RNA is filed under the name uncultured bacterium. RNAcentral describes it as "partial 16S ribosomal RNA". It matches the Rfam family "Bacterial small subunit ribosomal RNA", at positions 28 to 523 of the family's 1533-position model. The record is from RNAcentral.